RNAcentral lists this ribosomal RNA (250 nucleotides) under uncultured bacterium. Its description in RNAcentral is "partial 16S ribosomal RNA". It matches the Rfam family "Bacterial small subunit ribosomal RNA", at positions 524 to 773 of the family's 1533-position model. The record is from RNAcentral.
UACGUAGGGCGCAAGCGUUGUCCGGAUUCACUGGGUGUAAAGGGUGCGCAGGCGGAUUGGCAAGUCAGAGGUGAAAUCUCACGGCUUAACCGUGAAACUGCCUUUGAUACUGCUAAUCUUGAGUUCGGGAGAGGUUGAUGGAAUUCCAGGUGUAGCGGUGAAAUGCGUAGAUAUCUGGAAGAACACCAGUGGCGAAGGCGGUCAACUGGCCCGUAACUGACGCUCAUGCACGAAAGCGUGGGUAGCAAAC